UAACUCCCACCUGGGUAGCCGCUAGCCACGAGCCCAGUAUCGAGUGUUGCAGGUUGUCUGGUAACAGGCAAGUUGAAGCGUACACAGAAAGGAAGCGAGGAUGAAAGGUAUGGACUAGCUAUCCAGCCCUGAAUGGUACUGAGCCCCGAAAUUAUUGUAACUGUCGGAUUCUGCCCAAGGUGUGUGCAUACUGGAAGGCAAUACCGAACACCGCGUCAUGGCGAGCGUUGUUUGGAGACCCGGGGUCGAACGCCC
RNAcentral lists this non-coding RNA (255 nucleotides) under Aureliella helgolandensis. Lineage: Bacteria; Pseudomonadati; Planctomycetota; Planctomycetia; Pirellulales; Pirellulaceae. The record is from RNAcentral.